CUACGGGUCGCUGCAGUGGGGAAUAUUGCACAAUGGGCGCAAGCCUGAUGCAGCCAUGCCGCGUGUAUGAAGAAGGCCUUCGGGUUGUAAAGUACUUUCAGCGGGGAGGAAGGGAGUAAAGUUAAUACCUUUGCUCAUUGACGUUACCCGCAGAAGAAGCACCGGCUAACUCCGUGCCAGCAGCCGCGGUAAUACGGAGGGUGCAAGCGUUAAUCGGAAUUACUGGGCGUAAAGCGCACGCAGGCGGUUUGUUAAGUCAGAUGUGAAAUCCCCGGGCUCAACCUGGGAACUGCAUCUGAUACUGGCAAGCUUGAGUCUCGUAGAGGGGGGUAGAAUUCCGGGUGUAGCGGUGAAAUGCGUAGAGAUCUGGAGGAAUACCGGUGGCGAAGGCGGCCCCCUGGACGAAGACUGACGCUCAGGUGCGAAAGCGUGGGGAGCAAUCAGGAUUAGAUACCCUUGUAGUC
Molecule: ribosomal RNA, 464 nt
Filed under: uncultured bacterium
Lineage: Bacteria
Description: partial 16S ribosomal RNA
Rfam family: Bacterial small subunit ribosomal RNA
Source: RNAcentral